UGUGAGGACCCCCGAUAGUUGCAAAUCCGAGACAAACAACAUGAGAAAAACACCCUGAGUCGCCAGCUCUUCACAACCAAACCGUGUGUCUCCCAAGCCUCAACCCAUCGCGGAUUCAAGUUCCAUUCAUGCAGAUCGAAACCUUUCACACAUGCAACGGUAAUCAUCUCCCACUUGGUUCAAUAUACAUAUCUCUCAGCUUGCUAAAAAUCUUUGAGAGCUAUGUUUCGUGAUGAGUCUGGGUAGAAGCUUACACUGAUUUUCUUCCGUAUUAGGUACCCGAGAUGCACAAAGAGACGGAAAAGACUGACUCGAAUAGUCCCCAAACUCACGGAUCUGCAAAGUUGGAGGUUAAAACCGUUACCCUUGUGAUUGAUUGAACUGUGAUCUGGUAUUUUGUUAAGAAAACUAGUACUGUGACUAAAAAAUGACACUCAAAUCCAGUGUAGAACCGAGAGAAAACACCCCCUGAGCUGCCGAUCCAGUGGUCCCAGAAGGCUGAAUAAACGGCAAAUGCCUCGGCCUCUGCAAAUCAGGAAGGUAAAGAUCUUGUUCUUCUGCUUUCACUCAGCUCAACAUGUACAGAUUCAACUACAUUUCAUUUAUAAUGCCAUAUUGACCGUGUAUAUACUCCCAGAAUGACUUUAUACGAACUGAAAACAUACAAGCGCUUGAAAAACUUGGAUCUCGAAACUGGUAACAACUGCGGACUAGAACACAUUUGCUCCCAGAAAAGAAUGAAAUAAGCCCUGGAUCAGAACUGAGAACAUACAUGUAGACCAUGUGAACUGGAACCUUUUUGAGGACAUAAUGAAAAACCCAUCCCGGACUGGAAUAAUGAAAUACUAUUCAACUCCAAUGCAUGAGUAAUAUAUCUGCUGAAAAAUAGUUAUGGUUUCUAACUCAUGAAUCUGGUGAUUUUUGUUUUGAUCUGUAUAGGAACUCCAGUUUGGUCCCUGCACAGAGGUAGAAGACAUGAUCAGCUCGGACAUCUCAGGUCCGAUGUCUAUAUGAAUGUAAGAUUAAUUCUAGACUUUGUUUGGGUCCUGAUCUGUAUAGAUGUUCGUUCUAUGUCCCUGCAUGUACUCAUAUUGGUACUCUGUGUAGGGAUAUGCGGAUCCCUCAUAUUGGUACUCAUAUUUGUGUUAGCCAUUCCUGUUAUGUUUCUGCAUAGUAUAGUGAUUAGAGUUUUUUAAUGAGAAGAAUUUGAAAGACCAAUGUAGAUGGAAGUCACAUUUGCACUAUUGGGGCGAAACUAUUGACACACCCCAUCCCGAAGAAGGGCAUGCUGGCCGUCACGUGAGAGUGACGUCACCAUUUGCACAGUACGGAAGCUUUAAUUAUACAACUUCAUAGGUAAUACACCCGAAGGUGCGUCCUAAUUUGGUCAAUUCUGUCAGAACCCCGCUGAAUUCCUCGUAGUCACCACACCUCUGCAAUUCUUUAACCUGGAGGGGCGCAAAACCAAAAUUGAGUGGGUCAGUAAAACAAAUCUUUUCAAAUCCAACUUUUCUCAAAACAUUGUAACCCCUCUCCGUAAAACUUGUAUACUUUCCCAGAAAUGUAAAAUAUAAAUAUACAUAUAUAAUCUCAAACUUCAAUUCACUUUUUCAACAUUUUUCAUAUCAGUUAUGCCAUGCUAUGUCUAAAUUCAACAGUAUAAUAUGAAUGCAUCAACAUAAAUCAGGUGAAAGAAAAUAAUCAACCGGAGGCCCUACAAUGGCCCUGUACGGCUGAAUCUAAAGCUCAAUAUCUCAUUCGGCCGGAGUCACCAACUGUGACCUGUACGGCCUAUUGCCGGAGUCACUAGCUGUAACCUGUACGGCCUCUUACCGGAGUCACCAACUGUGACCUGUACGGCACUACACUGCACAUAAGUCGGAACCACCUAAUGUAGUCUGUACGACUUAAUGGUUAAUAUUACGCUCUAGUGCUUUUCUCAUCAAUCAUCUGUGCACAUAAUCUAAGGUCACCCACCAGUCGGAACCUCUCUAAAGGUCUGUACGACUGGCCUGUCGGAACCAUCUCCUGUGGUCUGUACGACAGCAUAUACUUGGAUCCAAGGCGAGCGUGCGAUGCGGUGAAUACUAUAAGCACUAAUACCAUGGUGCAGGUUAUGAACCCAAUAUAUCUCAACAUCAUCAUAACAGUAAUAAUACUCACCUGUGCGUCCACCGCACCAUUUCACAUAUAUGCAUCAUAUAUCAUUUCAUACUUUUCAUAUCAUUUCUAUGCAUGGCAUUUCAAUUCCCGUUUUUCUAUAUACUUUUCAUAUCAUUUCAUGCAUGGCAUAUUUUCAUUCAAAUUCAAUUUCUGGGAAAAUGUCAAGUAUAUAUAUAUAUGGAAAACAAAACUGCCCACUCACAGAAUACAUCGACGUGUCGAAGGUCCCUGAGCCUCCCUUAGCCCUGCCCAACGUCCGUAUAAUCCUCGCCUAUACGAGAAGUAACCAAAUUGACGUUAUUUAACGCAUAAUUCCACUCUUAGCUAAUAACUCCUCAUAUAUUACUCAAAUUGGGUAUAUGAAUAUACCACUGUGACCUACACAACCUCAGGAUCAUUCC
RNAcentral lists this long non-coding RNA (2564 nucleotides) under Malus domestica (apple). Its description in RNAcentral is "long non-coding RNA (MDOM_LNC017494)". The record is from RNAcentral. Lineage: Eukaryota; Viridiplantae; Streptophyta; Magnoliopsida; Rosales; Rosaceae.